GAUGAACGCUGGCGGCGUGCCUAAUACAUGCAAGUCGAGCGAACAGACGAGGAGCUUGCUCCUCUGACGUUAGCGGCGGUCGGGUGAGUAACACGUGGAAAACCUACCUAUAAGACUGGGAUAACUUCGGGAAACCGGUGCUAAUAACGGACAAUAUAUUGAACCGCAUGGUUCAAUAGUGAAAGACGGUUUUGCUGUCACUUAUAGAUGGAUCCGAGCCGCAUUAGCUAGUUGGUAAGGUAACGGCUUACCAAAGCAACAAUGCGUAGCCGACCUGAGAGGGUAGUCGUCCACUCUGGAACUGAGACACGGUCCGGAGUCCUACAGAGAGCAAGAGUAGGGAAACUUCCACAAUGAGCGAAAGCCUAACGGAACAACGGCACAUGAUGUAUAAAGGUCUUCGGAUCGUGAAACUCUGUUAGUAGGGAAGAACAAAUGUGUAAGUAACUAUGCACGUCUUGACGGUACCUAAUCAGAAAGCCACGGCUAACUACGUG
RNAcentral lists this ribosomal RNA (497 nucleotides) under uncultured bacterium. Its description in RNAcentral is "partial 16S ribosomal RNA". It matches the Rfam family "Bacterial small subunit ribosomal RNA", at positions 28 to 507 of the family's 1533-position model. The record is from RNAcentral.